Molecule: transfer RNA, 74 nt
Filed under: Candidatus Kaiserbacteria bacterium CG10_big_fil_rev_8_21_14_0_10_59_10
Lineage: Bacteria; Candidatus Kaiseribacteriota
Description: tRNA-Thr
Rfam family: tRNA
About the family: Transfer RNA (tRNA) molecules are approximately 80 nucleotides in length. Their secondary structure includes four short double-helical elements and three loops (D, anti-codon, and T loops).
Source: RNAcentral
GCCACCGUAGCUCAGUUGGUUAGAGCAGCUGUUUUGUAAACAGCAGGUCGUCGGUUCGAAUCCGACCGGUGGCU